UGAUGAAGAGCCAAGGCUUAUUGAUGUUGAUCCAAAUCAAGAAACAAACGAAGACUCUGGCGAUGAGGAAAUACAUAGAUUACCAGAAAUUAAUUCUGACACCGAAGAAGACUCAUCGGAUGAUUCCGAUUACGAGCCUUAGUUUUAAUUUAGAGGACGUAAUAUAUUAAUUUGUAAUAAAAAAGAUUGUAUUACCUUAAUUUAUAGUUUACAUAUGUUGAAUUCAUAUUUCUGUUAUUUUAUAUGAAUUUUGGUGAUAUAUGAACAGGAAAUUAGUAUGGUUUAAACCUUCUGUUUUAGGGUUUGUAUUUUUUACUUAAGCCGACGAAAUACAACAUAAUUCAUCGGCCUAAACCAUCUUAGCCGACGAAUUAUAUUAGAAGUCGUCGGCUAAACUCGUCUUAGCCGAUGUAGAAUAUUAGAAGUCGUCGGCUAAAAGAACUUAAAGCCGACGAAUUGAAAUGGAAGUCUUCGGCUAAAAGAUCUUAUAGCCGACGAAUUGCAAUGAAAGUCGUCGGCUAAAACCAUCUAAGCCGACGAUGUAUAUUAGAAGUCGUCGGCUAAAACCAUCUUAGCCGACGAAGUAUAUUAGAAGUCGUCGACUAAAACCAUCUUAGCCGACGAAUACCCUAAUAUUUCGUCGGCUUUAUUAAUUGUUAUAUUUUUUUAUUACAUACUAUAGCCGACGAAUGAAUUAGGGUAUUCGUCGGCUAAACCCUAAACUUUUUCUGUUACAUACUAUAGCCCUAUCUUCGGUGGUUAUUUUGCGUAAAAUUUUUAUACAACUUGUUUUGUCUCAUCGAUUUGAAAAUAUUUUCAGUUGAAGGUCCGGCCAAAAUACGAAAUUUAGACGGUCCAACGACCUUUUCCGUGCAUUUAGUGGUUUGACUUACGGGAUUGACCGUCCGGAUCGAGCACUUAACCUUGUUAGAUCAAGUUGAAUUUUUUCCCAUACAUGUAUCUUAUCAUGAUAGUCAGAUCUGACCGUCGGAUUUCAUUUUCUCAAGUUUGAUCAUCACAAUCACAACAUGCCUACUAAUGUUGUAUAACUUGUUUACCAAGUGUUAAGUAAAUGUUCCGUUUCAAAAACAAACUAUAUGUAGAACCUUCAAACGUAAAAAAGUCGUGAAAUAAGACAUGACCAGAAUGGUGAAAUACGUCUACGGUUGAAAAAUCACGGUAUUCCGGUAAAGUCUCGGUGCCGAUAGUUGCGGUCAAUGCAAUUUUCCAUUUUUUCUCCCUAUGGGUAGCCCUAUCUUCGGUGGUUAUUUUGCGUAAAAUUUUUAUAGGACUUGUUGCGUCUCAUCGGUUUGAAACUAUUUUCAGUUGAAGGUUCGGCCAAAAUACGUAAUUUAGACAGUCCAAUGACCUUUUCCGUGCGUUUAGGGGUUUGAUUUAACGGAUUGACCGUUCGGAUCGAGCCCUUAACUUUGUCGGAUCAAGUUGAAUUUUUUCCCAUACAUGUAUUUUAUCAUGGUGGUCAGAUCUGACGGUCGGAUUUUCGUUCUCAAGUUUGAUCAUCACAAUCACAAUCACAGUUUGACGAAUGGUUAAUUGUUUUAAAGCCGACGAAUUUCAAAGGUUUAGCCGACGAAUUUAUUGUUUAGCCGACGAAUUUCAUAGGUUUAGCCGACGAAUUUCAAAGGUUUAGCCGACGAAUUUUAUCUUAGCCGACGAGAUUAUUAUUUUAGCCGACGAAAUUAUUAUCUUUAGCCGACGAAAUUAUUAUUUCGUCGGCUAAAGUUUUCGGGUAUAACUCGACUGGUUAAUUGUAAGCCCUAGCCUCCGCCUCCUCUCCCUCUCUGAAUUUCCCCUCCUCCGCCUCCGCUCCCUCUCCCGGUCGCCGCCCUCC
RNAcentral lists this long non-coding RNA (1852 nucleotides) under Fragaria vesca (wild strawberry). RNAcentral's name for it is "long non-coding RNA (FVES_LNC004962)". Lineage: Eukaryota; Viridiplantae; Streptophyta; Magnoliopsida; Rosales; Rosaceae. The record is from RNAcentral.